AGCGAACGUUAGCGGCGGGCCUAACACAUGCAAGUCGAACGAGAAUGUAGGCUUCGGUCUACUAGUAAAGUGGCGGACGGGUGCGUAACACGUGGGUAAUCUACCUUCCGGCGGGGGACAACAGUCCGAAAGGAUUGCUAAUACCGCAUACGUCAGCGGCGCCUACGGGUGCUGUUGGGAAAGAUGGCCUCUCUUUAGAAGCUGUCACCGGAAGAUGAGCCCGCGCCCCAUCAGCUAGNGGUGAGGUAAUGGCUCACCAAGGCUUAGACGGGUAGCUGGUCUGAGAGGAUGAUCAGCCACACUGGGACUGCGACACGGCCCAGACUCCUACGGGAGGCAGCAGUGGGGAAUAUUGGGCAAUGGGCGAAAGCCUGACCCAGCCACGCCGCGUGAGUGAUGAAGGCC
This 405-nucleotide ribosomal RNA is filed under the name uncultured bacterium. Its description in RNAcentral is "bacterial SSU rRNA". It matches the Rfam family "Bacterial small subunit ribosomal RNA", at positions 29 to 416 of the family's 1533-position model. The record is from RNAcentral.